GUUUAAAGAGUUUAGUUUGAAAAAAAGGUAAAACAAUUAUUAUUGUCCAGGUCAUAUUUGAUAACUGUUGUUAAUUGAUAACAUAUUACAGGGACACAGUAAAAAGACAAAACAUUUAGACCCUUUGAAAGAGAAAUGUUUGCAAUGGAUAUUAAUAAAUUCUAGCCAAUUUGUACAAUGUACAAUGCAGGAAAUAUUUCUGCCUUCUAACGCACUAUUCGCGUAAAAGAAGAUGUGGGUAUUGUAUUUAUAGAACAGAUUUAUUAUUAGUUGGCUAGUGUGUUAGUAGGAUAGCCAUUGGUAGUUAUAAAGUAUGAAGUCAGGUAUUAAUAAUAGGAAUUGAUCAAAGCUUAUACAUUUAUUGUGAUAUUUAUAUUGUGAAUUUAAGUAGUUAGUUUUGGUUGUUUAAUAAACGAAUUAAUGUGC
This is a long non-coding RNA of Sitophilus oryzae (rice weevil), 426 nucleotides long. RefSeq lists it as uncharacterized. The record is from RefSeq and is a predicted model, not a curated record. The transcript has 2 exons. NCBI's taxonomy places the organism in Eukaryota, Metazoa, Arthropoda, Insecta, Coleoptera, Curculionidae.